Molecule: ribosomal RNA, 497 nt
Filed under: uncultured bacterium
Lineage: Bacteria
Description: partial 16S ribosomal RNA
Rfam family: Bacterial small subunit ribosomal RNA
Source: RNAcentral
GAUGAACGCUGGCGGCGUGCCUAAUACAUGCAAGUCGAGCGAACAGACGAGGAGCUUGCUCCUCUGACGUUAGCGGCGGACGGGUGAGUAACACGUGGAUAACCUACCUAUAAGACUGGGAUAACAUCGGGAAACCGGAGCUAAUACCGGAUAAUAUAUUGAACCGCAUGGUUCAAUAGUGAAAGACGGUUUUGCUGUCACUUAUAGACGGAUCCGCGCCGCAUUAGCUAGUUGGUAAGGUAACGGCUUACCAAGGCAACGAUGCGUAGCCGACCUGAGAGGGUGAUCGGCCACACUGGAACUGAGACACGGUCCAGACUCCUACGGGAGGCAGCAGUAGGGAAUCUUCCGCAAUGGGCGAAAGCCUGACGGAGCAACGCCGCGUGAGUGAAGAAGGUCUUCGGGUCGUAAAACUCUGUUAUUGGGGAAGAACAAAUGUGUAAGUAACUAUGCACGUCUUGACGGUACCUAAUCAGAAAGCCACGGCUAACUACGUG